CAACGGAUCUCUUGGUUCUGGCAUCGAUGAAGAACGCAGCAAAAUGCGAUAAGUAAUGUGAAUUGCAGAAUUCAGUGAAUCAUCGAAUCUUUGAACGCACAUUGCGCCCGCCAGUAUUCUGGCGGGCAUGCCUGUUCGAGCGUCAUUUCAACCCUCA
RNAcentral lists this ribosomal RNA (157 nucleotides) under Fusarium sambucinum. RNAcentral describes it as "5.8S ribosomal RNA". It matches the Rfam family "5.8S ribosomal RNA". Rfam says of the family: 5.8S ribosomal RNA (5.8S rRNA) is a component of the large subunit of the eukaryotic ribosome. It is transcribed by RNA polymerase I as part of the 45S precursor that also contains 18S and 28S rRNA. Lineage: Eukaryota; Fungi; Ascomycota; Sordariomycetes; Hypocreales; Nectriaceae. The record is from RNAcentral.